GCUGUAGGGAUCUGGCACUGUGGUUCCUGCAUGAAGACAGUGGCUGGUGGUGCCUGGACCUACAACACCACUUCUGCAGUCACAGUCAAGUCAGCC
This 96-nucleotide microRNA precursor is filed under the name Cavia porcellus (domestic guinea pig). RNAcentral describes it as "miRNA (ENSCPOG00000017058.3)". The record is from RNAcentral. Lineage: Eukaryota; Metazoa; Chordata; Mammalia; Rodentia; Caviidae. RNAcentral also lists the same sequence under 1 other name.